GUCCGAAUACAGGGUGGUCCGGGAGCCUAGAAUGAAGUUCGGGUUUAUGUCGGAUGUUCGCAGUUUCCACUGAACUUCUUCCUUGCAUUUUUGUAGGAAGGUGGCUUGGGUCUAUCACCUUGAUGCUCCCGAUUUUCUUGAGCACCAUUUCCGCUCAUUAUUGAUAAUGGAGGGGUCUGUUUUGUUGACGACCUGUGGCCUGGAGUGUCUGCUGUUGAGGGUCGCCAAGGGUUCUGCUAUCUUUCCUUUAUCUGGGUCUUCGUGCUUCUUUGGGGGUCUGGCUCCGUUCCAGUUGGUGGUCAAAUCACUAAUCAGGGCUCUCUGUGCUAAUGUCGUGGUGGAGGCGGACUUCUCGGCAUCUUGUGUUCUUGUGGGUGUUUCUUUGG
Molecule: long non-coding RNA, 386 nt
Filed under: Androctonus crassicauda
Lineage: Eukaryota; Metazoa; Arthropoda; Arachnida; Scorpiones; Buthidae
Source: RNAcentral